UGCAGCGAGUUGAUGAAAGUGACCCUUGUGUACGCCUCUGUUUCCAGGAUGUGAAACCCAAUUCCGGGUGGGAUUGAUCCUUGUCUGGCCACAGAGGGGAUAAGACCAGAAGGAGAAGAUAAGAGAAGACGCUGAGUGGUCAGCGAUACAGUUGAACCAUCACCUUCUACCACAGACAGCAGAAAGGAGCUGUAGCAGCAUGUGUCAGCUAAACUGUGUCGGGAAGACAGCCUGCAAAGAUCCUGUAAGCACAGACUGUAGUGGCACGGGUUUUAGGCUGGGGAACUUUCUGUAGUCCUCACUACAUGCGUUGGAGCUCG
Molecule: long non-coding RNA, 320 nt
Organism: Gambusia affinis (western mosquitofish)
Lineage: Eukaryota; Metazoa; Chordata; Actinopteri; Cyprinodontiformes; Poeciliidae
Exons: 3
Source: RefSeq, a predicted model, not a curated record